UAAAUUUUUUAUGGUUUAAAAAAUUUAUAAUAAGUUUAUUUUACAUAUAAAUUUUAGUGUUGAUUUUUAAUUAUUUUAAUAAUAAUUAAUUAUUUUUUAUAGUAAAUAAUUUUAAAAAUUUAAGAAAUUAAGAUUUAGUAGUAUAAAAAUUGUUAACUAAUUUUGUGCCAGCAGUUGCGGUUAUACAAAAGAUAAGGUAAAUUUUAUUAGUAAUUAAUUAAUGAAAUUUAUAUUUAAUUUAAAUUUUAAAUUAUUAGGUGAAAUUUUAAUUUAAUAAAAAUUUAUUAGAAAAAUUAUGUUAUAUUAAUAAAUUUUAUAAAAGACUAGGAUUAGAUACCCUAUUAUAAAAAAUUUAAAUUAAUAAUACUAAAAUAGUAGAUAAUUAUUUAUUGAAACUUAAAUGAUUUGGCGGUAUUUUAGUUCAUUUAGAGGAAUCUGUUUAUUAAUUGAUAAUCCACGAAUAAAUUUACUUAAUUUAAAAGUUUAUAUAUCGUUGUUAAAAAAAUAUUUUUUAAUAAAAAUAAUAUUUUAAAAUUUUAAUUAAAAAUUAAAUCAGAUCAAGAUGUAGUUAAUAAUUAAGAAUAUAAUGGAUUACAAUAAAUUUAUUUAUAUGGAUUUUAAUUUGAAAUAAUUAAAUAAAAGUGGAUUUAAAUGUAAUUUUUUUUAAUUUAUAAAAAUGAUUUAUAAUUAAAAUAUGUACAUAUUGCCCGUCGCUUUCAUUUAAAAGUUGAAAUAAGUCGUAACAAAGUAGAGGUACUGGAAAGUGUUUCUAGAAAGA
This 778-nucleotide non-coding RNA is filed under the name Mustilia falcipennis. Lineage: Eukaryota; Metazoa; Arthropoda; Insecta; Lepidoptera; Endromidae. The record is from RNAcentral.